CAUCAAAAACCAAGUCUCUAAGCAAUGGAUGUCUUGGCUCCUCACACGAUGAAGAACGUGGCAUAAUGUGUUAAGUAACCGGAGUUGCAAACAUCAUGACAGGUUAAUCUUUGAAUGCAAAUUGCGCUAAACUCGAUCUCGGUCGAGAAGCAUGGGUGUGACAGUACUACAUCUUUUAUAAUAAUUCUUAUUCUAAGCGAAUAAGUAAAUAAUAUAUAAGACAAACAACACGUAGUCUGCCAUACGCAGGAAGACCCGCUGAACUGAAGCAUCUCAUUAAGCGGAGGAAAAGAAACUAACUAGGAUUCCCUUAGUAAAGGCGAUCGAAAAGGGAACAGCCCAACGUCUUAAUCCCGCAAGGGAAAUGUAGUCGGUUCACCUAUUGCACUGGUCU
This 394-nucleotide non-coding RNA is filed under the name Trichomonas vaginalis G3. RNAcentral describes it as "Archaeal large subunit ribosomal RNA". It matches the Rfam family "Archaeal large subunit ribosomal RNA", at positions 1 to 310 of the family's 2987-position model. Lineage: Eukaryota; Parabasalia; Trichomonadida; Trichomonadidae. The record is from Rfam by way of RNAcentral.